Non-coding RNA from Ciona intestinalis (vase tunicate), 755 nucleotides. NCBI's taxonomy places the organism in Eukaryota, Metazoa, Chordata, Ascidiacea, Phlebobranchia, Cionidae. The record is from RefSeq and is a predicted model, not a curated record.
GGUUCCCUGAAAAAGAAGAGUGGAAAAUUACUGCAUGACGAGGAAAAAUACUGAGUUGAGGUUUUGGGUAUAAAUAGAGCUUCAUCAGUCGACAGUGUACACUCUUUAACUUAAAAAGUCGAGGACAACUAUAUAAAAGCGAUUUAUUUUUAUCAUCUGACUGAAGCAUUUUUAUCACGAUGGAUCGUCAAGGCAAAGCUAACAACGACAACAAGUCUAACCAAUGCAACCCAAACAACGAUAGAUACUCAGGGUAUUCCAGCUCAUACAGUGGAACUGCUACCAGACCAGAUCUUAACAACCAUUCAAAUCAAAUGAACCCCAACAAUUCAAAUUACCAGGGAAAGAAAUAAAUCAACAUGAUGGACAAAUAUUAACCGAGGACUUCAUAUUGCUAUAAUUGUAUAUUCCGAAUCUUUUUCAUUUAACGUUUAACUUGUUAAAUAAAUCGUUAUAUAACAGAGUGGGGCAAGACGGGACACCUUUAGCACAUAAUGUCCAACGACCUAUGGUAGUCGUGAUGAUUCGAAAUUCUUUGAAUGUUAUUUGUUUACUACUAAAUUGAACGAGAUAAUAGAAAAAACGUGUCCCAUCUUCCCCCACCCUACUAUAAUACAAUAGAUUACAGUAUAGUAUAACACAAUUCUUCAUAAUUGAAUAACAGUAUUUUCUUUUUUAAAUACAACACAGCCUUUAUGAUUUAAUUCCUGGUGAACUGUUUGUAUAGCAUGUGAAAUAAAGUCUUUGGUUUAAAC